UACAGAGGGUGCGAGCGUUGUCCGGAAUCACUGGGCGUAAAGGGCGCGUAGGCGGCGCGGUAAGCGUGCGGUGAAAGCCCGGGGCUCAACCCCGGGUCGGCCGUGCGGACUGCCGGGCUGGAGCACUGUAGAGGCAGGUGGAAUUCCGGGUGUAGCGGUGGAAUGCGUAGAGAUCCGGAAGAACACCGGUGGCGAAGGCGGCCUGCUGGGCAGUAGCUGACGCUGAAGCGCGACAGCGUGGGGAGCAACAGGAU
RNAcentral lists this ribosomal RNA (254 nucleotides) under uncultured bacterium. RNAcentral describes it as "partial 16S ribosomal RNA". It matches the Rfam family "Bacterial small subunit ribosomal RNA", at positions 524 to 778 of the family's 1533-position model. The record is from RNAcentral.